GGAACAACUAAUAGAUGUGGGAGAAAGCUUGUGCUUGCAUACAAGGAACUGAGACAGAAAUCCUCAUUGACAAGAUCUUCUGAAGCAGAGCUAUUGACGAUUGCUAAACAGUUAAAAAGCUAUUAAGCUUCUGCAAAGUAUGAGCACUUUCUGAAUUGGAGGUUCAGAGGACUGCACUCUCAAGGAGCCUGUCCUUGGUCCUGACCCUCACCAUUUCCCUGCCUGUUCCACCUUCUACUGUGAGCUAAUUACAUCCUCUAUAUGCAAUCAGGCCUUUAACUCACAAUUUUUCAGUGUUGUUAAAGCCUCAU
Grus americana (Whooping crane) is the source of this 311-nucleotide long non-coding RNA. RefSeq lists it as uncharacterized. The record is from RefSeq and is a predicted model, not a curated record. The transcript has 3 exons. Lineage: Eukaryota; Metazoa; Chordata; Aves; Gruiformes; Gruidae.